Molecule: long non-coding RNA, 4194 nt
Organism: Aethalodelphis obliquidens (Pacific white-sided dolphin)
Lineage: Eukaryota; Metazoa; Chordata; Mammalia; Artiodactyla; Delphinidae
Exons: 5
Source: RefSeq, a predicted model, not a curated record
GACCAGAGCCCUCUCUCUCUCCCUCUCCACACCAUGAGAGGACACAGCAAGAAGGUGGCCGUCUGCAAGCCAGGAAGUAGGUCCUCACCAUUCACCAAAUCUGCUGGUGCCUUGAUCUUGGACUCCAGAACUGUGAGAACUAAUUCCUGCUGUUUAAGCCCUCCAGUCUGUGGUAUUUUGUCCUGGCAGCCUGAGCUGACUCAUGCAGGAUAGAGGGCAAGUCUGGAAAGUGGCCAAGAAGGAGACCCUGCCUGAACAGUCCCCCCAGCAAGAGUGUCCAUGUACCCAUCGGCGCCUAACAGGAUGGGAUGCUGAAACGUACCUCAGGCAAUCACCUGCCCUCCAUGGCUGGCAGGAGGAGAUUUGGAGAAAAGCCACCCAAGGCUGACACGGCAGCUCCGUCAUGUAACCAGGUUCCAGGUUUCUUCUAUAUCCCUGUUCUGUCACGCUUGGCAAGAUGGUUCCCAUCUGUAACUACCAGCUCUGUGUCCUGGGGAGAAGGGCAAAGGGCAAAGGUCAAAAUGAUCCCUGGCAGUUACUUCUCGGAGAAGCUUUCCUGCAUGCCCUGCCCAGGGGCUCCACCUGCAUCUGAUUGGCUGAAACGUGUCACCGGGUCAGUCGUAGCUGCAAGGGAGUCUGGGAGGCUGGGUGCCUGAAGUGCACACUGCUGCCCUGAACAAAACCUGGGCUGUUACAAGGAAUGGACGGUGGGCUGUGUUUGCUCCAGCUGCCGAUGCCUCAAACCUGCCUUCCGCUAUUUCAUGUUGCCAAGUAACAGUCAUCUCCUUGUCCCCUCUCACCCCAGUUCCCCACCCACCACCAGUGUCCCGAUACGCCAAGACAGCCACGCUCCACGGUUGUCGCUCCUGUUUCUCAGCAAAACUUCUAUUUUCCCAGAGAAGGGUUCAAAGCAACCACCUCUUAAAGUAAUUAAUAUGACCACGUGAAAGCUGUGUUCAUCCUGGAUUUUCUGUUACACUUCCCAUUUCAAGUCCACGGUCCUAUGGUUCUCAUGAACAGUUGGGAUUUACGUCUUGUAAAUCCCAACAUUUCAGCAUCCAAACUGUACCUCCUAGAUGUCUGGAAGUAGCACAACGCCCCUUUAUCCUACAUGUCUGGAUUCUGAGCCAUUGACCCUGCCCUCCAGGUGCUCUGUGUCUGGAUGGGAGACAACCCGGGUCCUGGCCAGGUGAAGUGGAGGGACAUGGGUGUCUGCAGGAGUCCAGGAAGAGGACCGCUGAUGGGAUAAGGAAUCCUGUUGCCAAAACAAGCCCGGAUGUCACACCAAUGGCGAGGUGUAAAAUUGCAGAUUCCUGGGCCCAGGAACAGCUGGUUCCCAGAGCCUUAGUUGGGGACAGCAAAGUACAGGCUAACCAGUAGCGACCUGAGGCCCAAUGGACUUUGCUGUUUGCUCUGCCCACUACUGAAUUACCUGGGCUUUACCCUUGUCUCCAAACAGCUACCAGAAACCAGAAAAAUCUGGCCAGGCAUGAGGUUAGAAUACAUUAAAGUUGCUGCUUCAGAACAGUUUGGAAAUCUUUACGGAGCAGGUUAGGCAGGUUCCCGAGCAGAAGGUCAUUCCCCUGCCGGGCCUGACAAGUGCACGUAUGCAGUCACCCCACAGAGCACAGGGAAAUGUCUGAUCGGCCACUAGGGAGCCCAGUGCUAAGGGCAAGGGCCCUGGUCUGGGACACAGCCCUACAGGGCCGCGUUACUCCCUAACACCCCAGGCCCCCGCGGCCUAACAAUGAUUUGUUAGAGGUUCCAUCCACCCAGAGCCUCCCCCCGCCAGCAAGAGCCCCUGCGACUUCAGAGAAAACCCACAGACAUCAGAGACAGCGUGCAGGGGUCAGCAAGAAGCCCCUGGAUGCAAACUCACUGGGGGAGGAAACGUAAGAAACGGAUAAAGCCAUAGUUGUUUUGUAUUCUCUCUCCAUCUGGGACGUACCACUGAAAUGUACAACAUCGCCAUUUUUGAAUACACUGUGCUUUCUAUUCCAUUCCAUUCCAACGUUACACUUGCUGGCAAGUCAGUGUUUCGUGCCCUUUCCAGCACCUGCCUACUGUUCAGCGAGCACUGAUUGGCACGUACUAUGUGGACGGGAUAGACCACUGCUUUGUGGCUAAACAAGAUGACUGCUCUCCAGAAACGUUCAAGUUCCAGGCUUGACAGGCUCUCAACUGGACCAGAAGUGACGGGUCACAACAGCUCUCAUCUCUGGAGCCCUUCCCAAGCCGCGCGGCUUCUGUUUCAGCCUACAGCUCACCUCCUCCACCAGGCUGCAUCCCUAGAGGCUGCCUGGAGUGGACUACACCCGGGCUUCCAUGCCCUCGGGCUUCUGCUGGGUUUGCACAACUGGGAGCCCAGCCAGAAGGGAAGGAGGGAGGGAGGGAGGAGACAAGGAGGCCACGGUCCCUGCAAGGCAGCCCUCCCCACCUCCGGGUCUGCGAAAGCCCCCUCCUGGGGCUGGUGCCUCCACAGCCACCAGCCAGGGCGGGCGGGCCCUGUGGCUCCCCUACCUGGUGAGUUACUCCUUUCUGACACACUCUUCAUGUCAGCCCCUCCCGCCAGCCCUGGCUGGCAUUUCUCCCGUGACUUUGGAGUUACUUAAUUAAAUCCUCAAACAGCACAAUGAGGGAAACUCCAGGCUGAACGCCAAAUGUCACUGGCUUCAGAAAAUGACUCAAGUGCAACCUUUCCUGAGGAGGAAUCUGUCAGCCGACUGGCUGGUUAGAGCAUGGCAGCAGUGAGACCACUCUGAGCCCCUCACUGCGUUUCUGGUUAAUUUAAUGCUGUGACAAGCUGUGUCACAGGCCUCAGGCUGCACCCCCCAACCCCCGGGGGCCCCGCCCAGACCAAGCACCCAGCACCACAGCAGAGACGCAGUGGCCCUGCCCCACUGCCUGCCCGGGAGAGGCAGCCCCGCAGCACGCGGGGGUAGAGAAGGGAGCGGAACUGCAGCGGGACCAAACCAUGGACUGGGGGCGGCAGGGAGGAUGCUCCCCACAUCACUUCUAGGCCAAGGCUGCCCUGUCUGUACCCGGUCUGUCCCCGUCUCUCCAGGAGCCGCAGGCCCGGCCUGAAGCAGAGCUGAAGACAGUUGCUCUCAGCUGCUGGGAGAGUCAUCGCUGGGAAAAGGGGGUGUUUGAAAUCCACACUCUGGAGCGGGCUCACUUUCCCCUCCUGUUGGUCCUUCAUUUAUUCGGCCAAUGAACUGGCCAGAUGUCUAUGCGGCGUCUACUGUUUUCAAGAAGAGCGCUGGGCUUCCUGCACCCUUCUCCCACCUCCUGCACCCUUUUCCUGGGUCGACCAAAGCACUUCUACCCCGUCUCCGGCUUGCUCUUCACCUCUGAAAUGACGCCUCCCCUCCUCUCCACUCCCCGGCAAGACAAUCUCCAUCCCUGGAAUCUUGAACCUCUUAGCCAUGUGUAAGGAAGAAAUUCCCUGGUUACUAGCUCAGCUAGGUGGCCUGACAGCUCUCCUGAACUCUCCCCGGCUCCUUAAACCAACUGGACCUCUAACUGGUGACCAUUACGGAAGUUUAUAUUGCUCCCUGGGUCCCGGCAAGGGGUCGCUGCGUUCUCUACCUGUGCUGGAGGAGGAAUAUGGAGAACCCCUCACCUCACCACAGCUUGACCACUCACCCGCUUCCGUCAAGGCAAACAUCUUCCUCUCAUCCCUGUCUCCCCUCUGCCCCUUCCCUGGACCCCGAGGCUCCGAAUGUCCCCUCCCCAGUGCAAUGAGAGGGCCUGACCCUCAUCAGGAACGGAGCCUCCAGACUCGUCUGCUGAAGAAUCCAGAGGAGGUGGGCUCAGAGCCACCAAGGGCCAGCUCCAGGGUCGGGGCCUUUACAAACCCCUCUGCGUGCGCGCUGCAGACACCAGGGGCUGACAGAGGACGCAGGAUGGGCCCUGGAACCAUCUGGGCACAGGGUGCAGAGACCCCACCUCGCACGGCAGCCCCUAGGCCUCGCCUCUGCCUCCACCCCUCUCACCCUGUGAAUGAGUUUCAGCUCCUUUCAGACCCCUGACCCCAUCUAGGGGCUCUCAUAAACCUGGUCAGGCAGGCUGGCAUGGAAAAAGAAGUUGAUACUAUCCUAGGAGCAUCUGGUCCCUCUGCAAACAUCUGGACAAGUCUGCACGGAAUGUUAGAAACCAACAAAAUGGGCCAAACAUUGACUAUAUAAAAAUACA